ACGUUGUAAAAUGUAUUUUAUUUUCUUGUUUAGACAGAAACAAGACCUUUUAAAUUAAUAUUUGCCGAAGUAAUCCUUGACCGUGAUACUACUAUGUUACAACUUCUAUAAAUAAACUAUACCGAUGCGAGUAUUAUUAGAUAACUAAUAGAUUUGACAAUAAAUGUCAUUGCCGUCUUAAGCAACCAAUCCACAGAUAGAUUCAAUUCAUAAUUAAAGGUAAAGGUGCUUUUGAGUCACUGGAUAUGAAAUGGAGUUUUGGAGUCGUCGAAACAGUGGUGUG
RNAcentral lists this long non-coding RNA (283 nucleotides) under Betta splendens (Siamese fighting fish). RNAcentral describes it as "lncRNA (ENSBSLG00000004939.1)". Lineage: Eukaryota; Metazoa; Chordata; Actinopteri; Anabantiformes; Osphronemidae. The record is from RNAcentral.